GGCCUCGUAGCUCAGAGGAUAGAGCGAAGGUUUCCUAAACCUUGCGUCGCAGGUUCGAAUCCUGCCGGGGCCGCCA
RNAcentral lists this transfer RNA (76 nucleotides) under Propionibacteriaceae bacterium. Its description in RNAcentral is "tRNA-Arg". It matches the Rfam family "tRNA". Rfam says of the family: Transfer RNA (tRNA) molecules are approximately 80 nucleotides in length. Their secondary structure includes four short double-helical elements and three loops (D, anti-codon, and T loops). Lineage: Bacteria; Bacillati; Actinomycetota; Actinomycetes; Propionibacteriales; Propionibacteriaceae. The record is from RNAcentral.